This 701-nucleotide ribosomal RNA is filed under the name Pseudomonas sp. RNAcentral describes it as "bacterial SSU rRNA". It matches the Rfam family "Bacterial small subunit ribosomal RNA", at positions 80 to 777 of the family's 1533-position model. Lineage: Bacteria; Pseudomonadati; Pseudomonadota; Gammaproteobacteria; Pseudomonadales; Pseudomonadaceae. The record is from RNAcentral.
UUGCUCCUUGAUUCAGCGGCGGACGGGUGAGUAAUGCCUAGGAAUCUGCCUGGUAGUGGGGGACAACGUUUCGAAAGGAACGCUAAUACCGCAUACGUCCUACGGGAGAAAGCAGGGGACCUUCGGGCCUUGCGCUAUCAGAUGAGCCUAGGUCGGAUUAGCUAGUUGGUGAGGUAAUGGCUCACCAAGGCGACGAUCCGUAACUGGUCUGAGAGGAUGAUCAGUCACACUGGAACUGAGACACGGUCCAGACUCCUACGGGAGGCAGCAGUGGGGAAUAUUGGACAAUGGGCGAAAGCCUGAUCCAGCCAUGCCGCGUGUGUGAAGAAGGUCUUCGGAUUGUAAAGCACUUUAAGUUGGGAGGAAGGGUUGUACGCUAAUACCGUGCAAUUUUGACGUUACCGACAGAAUAAGCACCGGCUAACUCUGUGCCAGCAGCCGCGGUAAUACAGAGGGUGCAAGCGUUAAUCGGAAUUACUGGGCGUAAAGCGCGCGUAGGUGGUUCGUUAAGUUGGAUGUGAAAGCCCCGGGCUCAACCUGGGAACUGCAUCCAAAACUGGCGAGCUAGAGUACGGUAGAGGGUGGUGGAAUUUCCUGUGUAGCGGUGAAAUGCGUAGAUAUAGGAAGGAACACCAGUGGCGAAGGCGACCACCUGGACUGAUACUGACACUGAGGUGCGAAAGCGUGGGGAGCAAACAGGA